RNAcentral lists this ribosomal RNA (2903 nucleotides) under Escherichia coli UMEA 3215-1. RNAcentral describes it as "bacterial LSU rRNA". It matches the Rfam family "Bacterial large subunit ribosomal RNA". Lineage: Bacteria; Pseudomonadati; Pseudomonadota; Gammaproteobacteria; Enterobacterales; Enterobacteriaceae. The record is from RNAcentral.
UUAAGCGACUAAGCGUACACGGUGGAUGCCCUGGCAGUCAGAGGCGAUGAAGGACGUGCUAAUCUGCGAUAAGCGUCGGUGAGGUGAUAUGAACCGUUAUAACCGGCGAUUUCCGAAUGGGGAAACCCAGUGUGUUUCGACACACUAUCAUUAACUGAAUCCAUAGGUUAAUGAGGCGAACCGGGGGAACUGAAACAUCUAAGUACCCCGAGGAAAAGAAAUCAACCGAGAUUCCCCCAGUAGCGGCGAGCGAACGGGGAGGAGCCCAGAGCCUGAAUCAGUGUGUGUGUUAGUGGAAGCGUCUGGAAAGGCGCGCGAUACAGGGUGACAGCCCCGUACACAAAAAUGCACAUAUUGUGAGCUCGAUGAGUAGGGCGGGACACGUGGUAUCCUGUCUGAAUAUGGGGGGACCAUCCUCCAAGGCUAAAUACUCCUGACUGACCGAUAGUGAACCAGUACCGUGAGGGAAAGGCGAAAAGAACCCCGGCGAGGGGAGUGAAAAAGAACCUGAAACCGUGUACGUACAAGCAGUGGGAGCCUCUUAAUGGGGUGACUGCGUACCUUUUGUAUAAUGGGUCAGCGACUUAUAUUCUGUAGCAAGGUUAACCGAAUAGGGGAGCCGAAGGGAAACCGAGUCUUAACUGGGCGUUAAGUUGCAGGGUAUAGACCCGAAACCCGGUGAUCUAGCCAUGGGCAGGUUGAAGGUUGGGUAACACUAACUGGAGGACCGAACCGACUAAUGUUGAAAAAUUAGCGGAUGACUUGUGGCUGGGGGUGAAAGGCCAAUCAAACCGGGAGAUAGCUGGUUCUCCCCGAAAGCUAUUUAGGUAGCGCCUCGUGAAUUCAUCUCCGGGGGUAGAGCACUGUUUCGGCAAGGGGGUCAUCCCGACUUACCAACCCGAUGCAAACUGCGAAUACCGGAGAAUGUUAUCACGGGAGACACACGGCGGGUGCUAACGUCCGUCGUGAAGAGGGAAACAACCCAGACCGCCAGCUAAGGUCCCAAAGUCAUGGUUAAGUGGGAAACGAUGUGGGAAGGCCCAGACAGCCAGGAUGUUGGCUUAGAAGCAGCCAUCAUUUAAAGAAAGCGUAAUAGCUCACUGGUCGAGUCGGCCUGCGCGGAAGAUGUAACGGGGCUAAACCAUGCACCGAAGCUGCGGCAGCGACGCUUAUGCGUUGUUGGGUAGGGGAGCGUUCUGUAAGCCUGUGAAGGUGGCCUGUGAGGGUUGCUGGAGGUAUCAGAAGUGCGAAUGCUGACAUAAGUAACGAUAAAGCGGGUGAAAAGCCCGCUCGCCGGAAGACCAAGGGUUCCUGUCCAACGUUAAUCGGGGCAGGGUGAGUCGACCCCUAAGGCGAGGCCGAAAGGCGUAGUCGAUGGGAAACAGGUUAAUAUUCCUGUACUUGGUGUUACUGCGAAGGGGGGACGGAGAAGGCUAUGUUGGCCGGGCGACGGUUGUCCCGGUUUAAGCGUGUAGGCUGGUUUUCCAGGCAAAUCCGGAAAACCAAGGCUGAGGCGUGAUGACGAGGCACUACGGUGCUGAAGCAACAAAUGCCCUGCUUCCAGGAAAAGCCUCUAAGCAUCAGGUAACAUCAAAUCGUACCCCAAACCGACACAGGUGGUCAGGUAGAGAAUACCAAGGCGCUUGAGAGAACUCGGGUGAAGGAACUAGGCAAAAUGGUGCCGUAACUUCGGGAGAAGGCACGCUGAUAUGUAGGUGAAGCGACUUGCUCGUGGAGCUGAAAUCAGUCGAAGAUACCAGCUGGCUGCAACUGUUUAUUAAAAACACAGCACUGUGCAAACACGAAAGUGGACGUAUACGGUGUGACGCCUGCCCGGUGCCGGAAGGUUAAUUGAUGGGGUUAGCGGCAACGCGAAGCUCUUGAUCGAAGCCCCGGUAAACGGCGGCCGUAACUAUAACGGUCCUAAGGUAGCGAAAUUCCUUGUCGGGUAAGUUCCGACCUGCACGAAUGGCGUAAUGAUGGCCAGGCUGUCUCCACCCGAGACUCAGUGAAAUUGAACUCGCUGUGAAGAUGCAGUGUACCCGCGGCAAGACGGAAAGACCCCGUGAACCUUUACUAUAGCUUGACACUGAACAUUGAGCCUUGAUGUGUAGGAUAGGUGGGAGGCUUUGAAGUGUGGACGCCAGUCUGCAUGGAGCCGACCUUGAAAUACCACCCUUUAAUGUUUGAUGUUCUAACGUUGGCCCGUAAUCCGGGUUGCGGACAGUGUCUGGUGGGUAGUUUGACUGGGGCGGUCUCCUCCUAAAGAGUAACGGAGGAGCACGAAGGUUGGCUAAUCCUGGUCGGACAUCAGGAGGUUAGUGCAAUGGCAUAAGCCAGCUUGACUGCGAGCGUGACGGCGCGAGCAGGUGCGAAAGCAGGUCAUAGUGAUCCGGUGGUUCUGAAUGGAAGGGCCAUCGCUCAACGGAUAAAAGGUACUCCGGGGAUAACAGGCUGAUACCGCCCAAGAGUUCAUAUCGACGGCGGUGUUUGGCACCUCGAUGUCGGCUCAUCACAUCCUGGGGCUGAAGUAGGUCCCAAGGGUAUGGCUGUUCGCCAUUUAAAGUGGUACGCGAGCUGGGUUUAGAACGUCGUGAGACAGUUCGGUCCCUAUCUGCCGUGGGCGCUGGAGAACUGAGGGGGGCUGCUCCUAGUACGAGAGGACCGGAGUGGACGCAUCACUGGUGUUCGGGUUGUCAUGCCAAUGGCACUGCCCGGUAGCUAAAUGCGGAAGAGAUAAGUGCUGAAAGCAUCUAAGCACGAAACUUGCCCCGAGAUGAGUUCUCCCUGAGACUUAGAGUCUCCUGAAGGAACGUUGAAGACGACGACGUUGAUAGGCCGGGUGUGUAAGCGCAGCGAUGCGUUGAGCUAACCGGUACUAAUGAACCGUGAGGCUUAACCUU